RNAcentral lists this ribosomal RNA (253 nucleotides) under uncultured bacterium. Its description in RNAcentral is "partial 16S ribosomal RNA". It matches the Rfam family "Bacterial small subunit ribosomal RNA", at positions 524 to 776 of the family's 1533-position model. The record is from RNAcentral.
UACGUAGGGUGCGAGCGUUGUCCGGAAUUACUGGGCGUAAAGAGCUCGUAGGUGGUUUGUCGCGUUGUCCGUGAAAACUCACAGCUCAACUGUGGGCGUGCGGGCGAUACGGGCAGACUGGAGUACUGCAGGGGAGACUGGAAUUCCUGGUGUAGCGGUGGAAUGCGCAGAUAUCAGGAGGAACACCGGUGGCGAAGGCGGGUCUCUGGGCAGUAACUGACGCUGAGGAGCGAAAGCGUGGGGAGCGAGCCGG